This is a long non-coding RNA of Patella vulgata (common limpet), 1856 nucleotides long. RefSeq lists it as uncharacterized. The record is from RefSeq and is a predicted model, not a curated record. Lineage: Eukaryota; Metazoa; Mollusca; Gastropoda; Patellidae. The transcript has 4 exons.
GUAACUCUUGGCAACAAAAAUGACUUCGUUUCGGGAGUUUCAUAAAUGUGAUUUCAUAAAAGAUGAUGUUUGAAACUGGUGUGAUAGUCAUGUGUGCAGAAUUCCUUUCGUUCGUUUCUGGGGUUUUACGUCCACUUCCACCUAAGAUAUGAUGUGCAUAAUAUGCAUCUAUAUUAUCUUCCCUUGUCGGUGACUUUUUGUAAUACUUUCGGCAAUAUUGAUAAAAACUGAAGCUAUUUCCGGUUCUUGUUAGUGAUGAGUAGGACACAACUCUAAAAGUAACUCGUUCCCGGUAAUGCGGUUAUGGCUCGAUCAUGCGAUCGGCUUCGUGAUAAGUUUUGUAAUUACCAAAAGAAAAAAACAACCUUUAAUCAACGUAUUUCGGCUUGCUGAGUGGAACAUUAGAUCAGUGGUUCUCAACCUUUUUUUGCCAACGUCAAACCUUGGAACACAUGAAGUAAUAGGGGCACACCUGGAUAUAUAUAUAUAUAUAUAUAUAUAUAUAUAUAUGGAAAAUAUUUGAAUUUUGCAAAAUAAAAACAUGGCAAGUCAUAGACGGCAUACAACCGUAGACGCAGACUAGUCAUACAUACAAAGAAUGACUCAAACUACAUCAAGAAAAACACAGCUAUGAACUUACUUUAUUGCAGUGUUUCGAAUUUCAUCAGUCAAAUAACUGGCUUAUUGAGAAAUUGUCUUAGCGUGCCGUUCGAAAUUUCGCGGCACACUGGUUGAGAAUCACUGCAUUAGAUAAAGAGUACUGUUUACUGAGUGUAUUUUAUAUUUAAAAAAAAAAAGAAAAAAAAAAGAAAUUGACUCAUGAAUACUAACACUUGUGUGACAAAGUACUCUUAUAACUUUCAUCAAAUUGAACGAUUAUUUAGGUCCUUAGAACUUUAUGACCUCAGCUGGUUUUUGAUAAUGUAUGAACUUCUGUUAAGGCACGAACUGGCAAUGGUCUUAUUAAACAUGUAAUUAAUCCCAUAUGUCGUUUACAAACUACAUAUGAUCUGUGUACAAGCUCCACAUGACUUCAAAGAGAUAUGCACUGGUCAGUAAGCAUACCAUGACGUGCGAAUAUGUAUGAUCAUGAGUUUUAUCUAUUCUCCGGUGCUAUAUAAUCAGGAGUUUACCGACAGACAGACAGAGCGGAGAGGAGAAGAGAGGCUUGGACGAGUGCAUGGACUCACCCGAGUUCAGCCGCUGCCUUGGCAGAGGGGCAGAAUGGUGGAUUUAAUAUUGUAAUAUGUGUUCCUGUUGUAGUCUAGUUCCCGAUGUAGUUUAGUUCAUGUUGUAUCUAUGUAACUGUUUGAUAUUCUGAUCCGAUGUAAAUAAAUCCUAUAUUUACUAAACUGGUCUACUGUUAUCACUAAGAUAGUGUUAUACUUGUUCCGAAAUUUAAGAUUUGUAAGGUAUACAUUAAUCAGUACGGAAGUAAUCAUCCUCCAUGUCCUUAGUAGUACGGAAUGAUACAACUCGGGAUACUGAGGGUGGGUAGUAAUCAAAGCGGUACAAGGAUUGACAAAUCUCAGAAAUCAAUACAACAAAAUUAGUAUUUAUUUAUCUGGGCGCAUACGAUGGAUCGGUUGAAUACAUUUUUCACCAAUAUGUUUUAAGGGGCAAGGGAUGGGUUUUUAGACUGUAUCUUUCAAUCUGAAUGUGACUUAUAAUCUCUUGAUUGAAGCGCACAUAUUGAAGGUUAAAUUAUUGAUUAUCUUUUCUUAACAACCAAAUUUCUCGGAAAGCAUUACAAGUGCGGGUUGCGGGUUUUAUUUCUAAAUGCUUUUUUUCAUAUUCAAAUUGAUAGAUUCAUUUUGGUUAAGGAUGGAAAUGUUGUUUAAAGGAGCCAAUUCAAU